Molecule: ribosomal RNA, 327 nt
Filed under: uncultured Sarcomonadea
Lineage: Eukaryota; Cercozoa
Description: SSU rRNA
Rfam family: Eukaryotic small subunit ribosomal RNA (bases 115-327)
Source: RNAcentral
AAUUUCUGGCUUGGCAAUUUUGGCCCGGUACGGUAACGUACUGUUUGUGCUGACUGUUGCCGGUCAUCCUUCUGGGUUUAACAGGCCUUGCCCUUCACGGGGUGGAGGUCUGCGAACCAGAUCUUUUACUUUGAAAAAAUUAGAGUGUUUAAAGCAGGCGUUUGCUAUGAAUACAUUAGCAUGGAAUAAUAAUUUAGGACUUCGGUUCUAUUUUGUUGGUUUCUAGGACUGAAGUAAUGAUUGAUAGGGACAGUUGGGGGUGCUAGUAUUCAGCGGCCAGAGGUGAAAUUCUCGGAUUCGCUGAAGACUAACUUAUGCGAAAGCAUU